Molecule: ribosomal RNA, 1434 nt
Filed under: Klebsiella pneumoniae
Lineage: Bacteria; Pseudomonadati; Pseudomonadota; Gammaproteobacteria; Enterobacterales; Enterobacteriaceae
Description: bacterial SSU rRNA
Rfam family: Bacterial small subunit ribosomal RNA
Source: RNAcentral
GGCGGCAGGCCUAACACAUGCAAGUCGAGCGGUAGCACAGAGAGCUUGCUCUCGGGUGACGAGCGGCGGACGGGUGAGUAAUGUCUGGGAAACUGCCUGAUGGAGGGGGAUAACUACUGGAAACGGUAGCUAAUACCGCAUAACGUCGCAAGACCAAAGUGGGGGACCUUCGGGCCUCAUGCCAUCAGAUGUGCCCAGAUGGGAUUAGCUAGUAGGUGGGGUAACGGCUCACCUAGGCGACGAUCCCUAGCUGGUCUGAGAGGAUGACCAGCCACACUGGAACUGAGACACGGUCCAGACUCCUACGGGAGGCAGCAGUGGGGAAUAUUGCACAAUGGGCGCAAGCCUGAUGCAGCCAUGCCGCGUGUGUGAAGAAGGCCUUCGGGUUGUAAAGCACUUUCAGCGGGGAGGAAGGCGUUAAGGUUAAUAACCUUGGCGAUUGACGUUACCCGCAGAAGAAGCACCGGCUAACUCCGUGCCAGCAGCCGCGGUAAUACGGAGGGUGCAAGCGUUAAUCGGAAUUACUGGGCGUAAAGCGCACGCAGGCGGUCUGUCAAGUCGGAUGUGAAAUCCCCGGGCUCAACCUGGGAACUGCAUUCGAAACUGGCAGGCUAGAGUCUUGUAGAGGGGGGUAGAAUUCCAGGUGUAGCGGUGAAAUGCGUAGAGAUCUGGAGGAAUACCGGUGGCGAAGGCGGCCCCCUGGACAAAGACUGACGCUCAGGUGCGAAAGCGUGGGGAGCAAACAGGAUUAGAUACCCUGGUAGUCCACGCCGUAAACGAUGUCGAUUUGGAGGUUGUGCCCUUGAGGCGUGGCUUCCGGAGCUAACGCGUUAAAUCGACCGCCUGGGGAGUACGGCCGCAAGGUUAAAACUCAAAUGAAUUGACGGGGGCCCGCACAAGCGGUGGAGCAUGUGGUUUAAUUCGAUGCAACGCGAAGAACCUUACCUGGUCUUGACAUCCACAGAACUUUCCAGAGAUGGAUUGGUGCCUUCGGGAACUGUGAGACAGGUGCUGCAUGGCUGUCGUCAGCUCGUGUUGUGAAAUGUUGGGUUAAGUCCCGCAACGAGCGCAACCCUUAUCCUUUGUUGCCAGCGGUUCGGCCGGGAACUCAAAGGAGACUGCCAGUGAUAAACUGGAGGAAGGUGGGGAUGACGUCAAGUCAUCAUGGCCCUUACGACCAGGGCUACACACGUGCUACAAUGGCAUAUACAAAGAGAAGCGACCUCGCGAGAGCAAGCGGACCUCAUAAAGUAUGUCGUAGUCCGGAUUGGAGUCUGCAACUCGACUCCAUGAAGUCGGAAUCGCUAGUAAUCGUAGAUCAGAAUGCUACGGUGAAUACGUUCCCGGGCCUUGUACACACCGCCCGUCACACCAUGGGAGUGGGUUGCAAAAGAAGUAGGUAGCUUAACCUUCGGGAGGGCGCUUACCACUUUG